UUUGAAAAGAUGUCUGACGUUGGCCAACUAGACAAUUGGCUUUAAGUGGAAAUAAGUCCCUCUUAUUGGAAUUGAACGUUUCUUGUUAAUAUUGAAGUGGUUUUUCUUUUGCUAUUCUCAAUGGUAUAGUUAAGGAGGUCGUAAUGCGGUUGUGUUCGACUAAAUGCUCGAUAAAUAUAAACGAACAGAGUUUCAACAAAAAAUUUGUUCGAGCUUGUCAAAGUUUAACGAACCAAACUUCAACAACAGAGUAUUCGGUUCGGCUCAGUUCAUUUACAGCUCUUUAACUGUUUCGUCCGUCUCUCACCAGUAGCCUAUCCAACCCUUGUUACACUUUCGCCUCUUGAUCUCUCCAGCUCUCUUCACGCUAUCUCCCAUUCUUGGUGUCUUCAACUCUUCACCCUCUUCGUCUUUUAACUUUCGAGUUACGAAACUCAACAGCCGUUCAGCCAAGUUUGGCACGACCAUCACGGAUGACCACCAGUCCACAGCAUAACUCCACAGCUCCACUAGAAGUCCUCCACGGCUCACCAUUAAUCAAAGGUCAACUGGGCUUUUGUAUUUCCUUGUGAACAACAGAACAAGAAACAGGUAUUUUUUCCUCUUUUAAUUGAUGAUUUGUUAAUAAUUUCUAUAUAUGUUGAACAAAUUGCUUAUUGAGAUUUGUUAUUAGUUGUUUUGCAACUUUAAUUAAUUUUAAAGAUCUGUCCUGUGUAUUAUUAAUUAAUUUUAAAGACAUUUGAGUUUUUCUUAUUUUUAAUAUUCG
RNAcentral lists this long non-coding RNA (766 nucleotides) under Durio zibethinus. Its description in RNAcentral is "long non-coding RNA (DZIB_LNC002308)". Lineage: Eukaryota; Viridiplantae; Streptophyta; Magnoliopsida; Malvales; Malvaceae. The record is from RNAcentral.